GGGGGCAGGCCGAGAGUCAUUCACCAACCGUUUCCUGAGACGAUCUGACCUGAUCGGGCCACCAUGGCUAGGACCAGGAGACUCAGGCGUCGCCAUCUAAGAGGCCAGAAUGAGACGGCGGAGAGAAGAAUAGGCGUUAGAAGCAGCCGGCCCAGGAGGCGCAGGGCCAGGCGGAGGAGGAGACCUGUGAGAGGCGGCAGGAGGCAACGUACUCGUCCGAGACGGUGCUGAGCUUCCAACUCCAGGCCAGGACCCUCCAGAACCCACCAGGACCCCCAAGCCUGUGAGAACUGGCCGGAGAAGACCAAGGCCAGAUGAUCCAACACAAGAUUCCACAGGCCUCGAACAUCUUGCAGGGCCCAUGACUGUACUGCUUUAAGUGGAAUUAAAGUGACUGAAACAGA
This is a long non-coding RNA of Tachyglossus aculeatus (Australian echidna), 404 nucleotides long. RefSeq lists it as uncharacterized. The record is from RefSeq and is a predicted model, not a curated record. NCBI's taxonomy places the organism in Eukaryota, Metazoa, Chordata, Mammalia, Monotremata, Tachyglossidae. The transcript has 2 exons.